CCGCUCCGCCCCGCAGCCCCCCACAAGAUGGCGGCGCGCGGCCCCCCGCCCCGCGCUGCUCCGCCGCCGCCACUCACCGCCGCCGCCGCCCCGGCGCUUCUCUCCGCAACUCCGGCAACACUUUGCUCCCCCAGCGGCCCCGCGGGCGGCCAGGGCGCAUGCGCGGCCGCCCCGCUCCGGCCCCGGCCCCGCUCGCGGCCUCGGCGGCGGCUCGGCGGGGGGCAGGGCGGGGCCGCGCCGCGCCGGGCCCGGGGGAGGCCGGGCAGGGCCGCGCCGGGGAGCCGAGGCCUCGGCGGUGGGAGGGGGCUGGGGAGCUGGGGCCUGGGCGCGGCCUGGGGAACUGGGGAGAGGAUGAGAGGAUUCCCCCUCUUUCGGCCACUUGAGAAGAGGAAAGAGCAGGCAGGUGCUGCGGACUGAUUUAUCUGCAAGGAAAGGCGGCCGGGAGCAGCCCUCGCCCACCCUUUCUGCUCAGCUAAACGCUUCUCCUUCGGAGUUAAAGUGUGUCGUAGGGUGAACAAAGUUGGGGAUUUACUUAGAAUAUUAAGGCAUGUUAAUGUCUGAAAUGGAGAUUUAGAGAACAGAGAUUUAAGUAGAUAUUACCGCCAGGAUCCAACAGAUUGUGACCGAGACAGACUGCUGUAUUUUGCCAAUUCCCCCAUUGAUUAUUAAUGUAAAAUAUUUUACCCUGUUCUCUGCAUCUGUUAAACUUGUUUUUCUUCUUAUCUGCAAAUGUUAUUUUCAUUUGUAUUUGAAUUUUGAAACAAUAAAAGAAGUGGUGGUAUUUUUUUAA
Dromaius novaehollandiae (emu) is the source of this 790-nucleotide long non-coding RNA. RefSeq lists it as uncharacterized. Lineage: Eukaryota; Metazoa; Chordata; Aves; Casuariiformes; Dromaiidae. The transcript is spliced from 2 exons. The record is from RefSeq and is a predicted model, not a curated record.